AUAAAGGUUUUCCUAGAAACCACCUCUUUUUUCUAGAAUUUUGCUGU
Molecule: non-coding RNA, 47 nt
Organism: Rhodnius prolixus
Lineage: Eukaryota; Metazoa; Arthropoda; Insecta; Hemiptera; Reduviidae
Source: Rfam